This 18-nucleotide ribosomal RNA is filed under the name uncultured Melampsora. RNAcentral describes it as "partial 18S ribosomal RNA". Lineage: Eukaryota; Fungi; Basidiomycota; Pucciniomycetes; Pucciniales; Melampsoraceae. The record is from RNAcentral.
ACCGGCGGAAGGAUCAUU